Molecule: long non-coding RNA, 254 nt
Filed under: Elaeis guineensis (African oil palm)
Lineage: Eukaryota; Viridiplantae; Streptophyta; Magnoliopsida; Arecales; Arecaceae
Description: long non-coding RNA (EGUI_LNC011877)
Source: RNAcentral
CUACAAGAUACUGGGCACCUACAGGCCGGGAGCCUACCGACUGGAGACUCUAGAAGGAAUGGCCAUUCUCCAGACUUGGAAUGCUGACAACCUGAGAAUGUACUACCAGUGAUCCCUGUGUGCCCUUGUUCGGAAUACAAACUCAGUCUCAAAACUAUAGAGUCUAGAAUCUCAGCCCUCCAAUUGUGCGUCGGCGCUCAUCAGUAGUACGAGCCCCGACUUGGGCCCAACAUUUCAUUGGAAAUCUGUGGCCC